GCUUAGUCCAGCCUCAGCCUUCUAGGUUCAAGUAAUCUUCCCACCUCAGCCUCCCAAGAAGCUAGGACUACAGGGACCCACCACCACACCUAGCUAAUUAAAAAAAAAAAUUGUAGAGAUGGAGUCUCAGUGUGUAGCCCAGUCUCAAGUGACCCUCCCUCCUUGGCCUCCCAAAGUGCUGAGAUUGCUGGAAGAGUGUCUUCAUCUCUGCAUCCCUAGUGCAACAGAGCAUGAUAAAAAUUCAAUAAAUAUUUAUUGCAGAGUCUUGAUGUCUUUUGGGAAAGGAACUCUAUGGUUACCUUUACUCUAAGAUUAGAAGGGUGUUACUGAUUCUUACCUCAGAGAAGAGAAUGUCAUGGAGACAAAAUGACCUGCUUAGAGUUCUGCGCCCCCCAGCAUGGAGAGCAGAGCGCAAAGAUUUCCUCCAGACUCCCACAUUCUCCCUUGGAAUCCAAGAACUUGUCUACUAUCACAACACUUUAGUACCCACUUGUAAGCCCGUGGACAAAUCCUCUGAGGCCUUGAUACCUCAGUUUUCCCCCACUAUAAAUGGGAAGAUAAAUUCACUAGAAACAG
This 576-nucleotide non-coding RNA is filed under the name Pongo abelii (Sumatran orangutan). The record is from RNAcentral. Lineage: Eukaryota; Metazoa; Chordata; Mammalia; Primates; Hominidae.